ACUCCUUUCUUUUUCCAUUUAGCUUUUAUUGUUUGUUUGGGUUUGUAACUAUGUGACCAUUGGAAGUGGAAGAGCUAUUUGAUGAGACUUCAUCAGAUGACUGUACAAGAAGGAAUUAGAUAGAUUAGAGAGAAAAAAGAACAGAUGAGAAAAAAUGAUAAUGAUAAAUAAAUAAAGGAAUUUUAGAUUGGGCCAGGAAUCCAAGUUUGGGACGGUAUGGAUAAAAGAACUUCCUAUGUUAUACUAUUCAAUUUCGACGACGAAUUGAUUUGAUAGUUCAGAUAUUGUUAUUCAUGAUACUGAUCUGAUUCAAGAUCAUCGAGAGGUAAUAUUCAUUCAUUGAAUUUACAGGCC
Molecule: long non-coding RNA, 354 nt
Filed under: Nicotiana benthamiana
Lineage: Eukaryota; Viridiplantae; Streptophyta; Magnoliopsida; Solanales; Solanaceae
Description: long non-coding RNA (NBEN_LNC018463)
Source: RNAcentral